GUCCGGAUGAGGCCAUCUCACCGAUGGUCGAAUCUGGGCUUCGCAAGGGGGCUUAAGUCGUAACAAGGUAGCCGUAGGGGAAUCUGCGGCUGGAUCACCUCCUA
This 104-nucleotide ribosomal RNA is filed under the name Halobellus ruber. RNAcentral's name for it is "partial 16S ribosomal RNA". It matches the Rfam family "Archaeal small subunit ribosomal RNA", at positions 1371 to 1478 of the family's 1478-position model. The record is from RNAcentral. Lineage: Archaea; Methanobacteriati; Methanobacteriota; Halobacteria; Halobacteriales; Haloferacaceae.